ACACUCCUACGGGAGGCAGCAGUGGGGAAUAUUGGACAAUGGGCGCAAGCCUGAUCCAGCCAUGCCGCGUGAGUGAUGAAGGCCCUAGGGUUGUAAAGCUCUUUCACCGGUGAAGAUAAUGACGGUAACCGGAGAAGAAGCCCCGGCUAACUUCGUGCCAGCAGCCGCGGUAAUACGAAGGGGGCUAGCGUUGUUCGGAUUUACUGGGCGUAAAGCGCACGUAGGCGGACUAUUAAGUCAGGGGUGAAAUCACGGGGCUCAACCCCGGAACUGCCUUUGAUACUGGUAGUCUUGAGUUCGAGAGAGGUGAGUGGAAUUCCGAGUGUAGAGGUGAAAUUCGUAGAUAUUCGGAGGAACACCAGUGGCGAAGGCGGCUCACUGGCUCGAUACUGACGCUGAGGUGCGAAAGCGUGGGGAGCAAACAGGAUUAGAAACCCGGGUAGUCCCA
RNAcentral lists this ribosomal RNA (448 nucleotides) under uncultured organism. RNAcentral's name for it is "partial 16S ribosomal RNA". It matches the Rfam family "Bacterial small subunit ribosomal RNA", at positions 333 to 797 of the family's 1533-position model. The record is from RNAcentral.